AGAGAAGGGAUGAUUGGGUUUGGAUCUGUGACAAUAUCUUUGACAAUGAGGAUUGGAAGACUCGUUCAAGAACUAAUGCACUUAAUCGUGCAAAUCUGGAGUAUGUGCACAAGCUGGGAUCUAAGUCUUUUCCACAAAAACGUCAUGAAAUGACCAAUCCAGAGA
Molecule: non-coding RNA, 165 nt
Organism: Coffea arabica (coffee)
Lineage: Eukaryota; Viridiplantae; Streptophyta; Magnoliopsida; Gentianales; Rubiaceae
Source: RefSeq, a predicted model, not a curated record